GUUACAUUUCAGCAUUCCUUGGUGAUACCCACACAAGAUAUGAUAGCUCUCUUUCCAAGAGAUUUAUGGCAAUUGGUCAGCUUGUUAUAUGUUUAAGACAAUAAGACCUGGCAUGCACCCAAUCGAUAACAUCUGUAUCAAUAGUUGAACCUCAAGACGGAUAAGGUCAGCGUUUUCAUCCUUGUGCAAUAGUUGUGGAAAACAAGAAUAACUUUGGUUUCAAACUGGUGGCUGUUCCUAAAUAUACAUAAGUUUCAGUAUGGUGAUGCAGUGUUGCUGGCUUCAAGGGACUGUUAUGCACUGU
Molecule: unclassified non-coding RNA, 304 nt
Filed under: Hevea brasiliensis (rubber tree)
Lineage: Eukaryota; Viridiplantae; Streptophyta; Magnoliopsida; Malpighiales; Euphorbiaceae
Source: RNAcentral